GCCAUGAUGUUAGUCUUGGCACCAGCUAGAGAGUAAGAGCCAACUUGGUCCUGACCCAUCUUCAGCAUAUCGGCAAACAAGGCUUGCAGAAUUUUGUUGUCCCAGCGACGAAUGAUGGCAUCUGUAUCAUACAUCUUACUGCCCUGCGAAGAGGUCAGUUCGAAUUUGAACAGAGGUUGUCGGCUUUCUGGGUCAAACGCUUGAGGAAGGAUAAGUCCAGAUUGUUCAUUCAUUUGAAUGUUACGAAUUACUCGCUUGUAGUAUUCGUAGACUGCCCUCUCAGCUUCUGUAGCAUCUUCGGACAUAUAUCGAGGAGGCAGAUAGAGCGUAGGCAUACCGUUCAUAUCGCGUGUUACGCCAACGGACUCUUGCUCUUCAAUCUCUACUCGAUAUCUCCAAGCGUUAUAGCACGCACGGAGAGGGCUGUUACCUUCAGGACUGUCACGUUUAGCAUCGACCCGGAAAAGAAGCAUCUUCUUAGCUGGAAUCUCUACAGUUCCGUCCUUAUUACCUAGGUUGACGUAACGGUCGCCAUUGACAACAUUGGCAAGACUUUGCUCACACCCUAGGAAGUUUCUACCGUCUUCAGAGUACAACCAUU
RNAcentral lists this small RNA (601 nucleotides) under Pseudomonas phage PAK_P4. Its description in RNAcentral is "putative antisense RNA". The record is from RNAcentral. Lineage: Duplodnaviria; Heunggongvirae; Uroviricota; Caudoviricetes; Vandenendeviridae.